This 442-nucleotide ribosomal RNA is filed under the name uncultured bacterium. RNAcentral's name for it is "partial 16S ribosomal RNA". It matches the Rfam family "Bacterial small subunit ribosomal RNA", at positions 338 to 795 of the family's 1533-position model. The record is from RNAcentral.
CCUACGGGUGGCAGCAGUGGGGAAUAUUGGGCAAUGGGCGCAAGCCUGACCCAGCAACGCCGCGUGAAGGAAGAAGGCUCUCUGGUUGUAAACUUCUUUUCUGGGGGACGAAAAAAUGACGGUACCCCAUGAAUAAGCCACGGCUAACUACGUGCCAGCAGCCGCGGUAAUACGUAGGGGGCAAGCGUUAUCCGGGUUUAUUGGGUGUAAAGGGAGUGUAGGCGGGAAUGCAAGUCAGAUGUGAAAACUAUGGGCUCAACCCAUAGCCUGCAGUUGAAACUGUAUUUCUUGAGUGCUGGAGAGGCAAUCGGAAUGCCUGGUGUAGCGGUGAAAUGCGUAGAUAUCCGGAGGAACACCAGUGGCGAAGGCGGAUUGCUGGACAGUAACUGACGCUGAGGCGCGAAAGCGUGGGGAGCAAACAGGAUUAGAUACCCGGGUAGUC